This 105-nucleotide non-coding RNA is filed under the name Pseudonocardia sp. RNAcentral's name for it is "TPP sequence". It matches the Rfam family "TPP riboswitch aptamer (THI element)". From Rfam's summary of the family: Vitamin B(1) in its active form thiamin pyrophosphate (TPP) is an essential coenzyme that is synthesised by coupling of pyrimidine and thiazole moieties in bacteria. The previously detected thiamin-regulatory element, thi box was extended, resulting in a new, highly conserved RNA secondary structure, the THI element, which is widely distributed in eubacteria and also occurs in some archaea. Lineage: Bacteria; Bacillati; Actinomycetota; Actinomycetes; Pseudonocardiales; Pseudonocardiaceae. The record is from RNAcentral.
CAGGUGUCGCACGGGAGCCCGGCUGGGCUGAGAAAGGACUUGCGGGUCCUGACCGUCGAACCUGAUCCGGGUCAUGCCGGCGCAGGGAGCGAAGAUGAUCGAAGU